GAUGAACGCUGGCGGCAUGCCUAACACAUGCAAGUCGAACGAUGCCUUCGGGCAUAGUGGCGCACGGGUGCGUAACGCGUGGGAAUCUGCCCUUGGGUUCGGAAUAACUCAGAGAAAUUUGAGCUAAUACCGGAUGAUGACGUAAGUCCAAAGAUUUAUCGCCCAAGGAUGAGCCCGCGUAAGAUUAGCUAGUUGGUGGGGUAAAGGCCUACCAAGGCGACGAUCUUUAGCUGGUCUGAGAGGAUGAUCAGCCACACUGGGACUGAGACACGGCCCAGACUCCUACGGGAGGCAGCAGUGGGGAAUAUUGGACAAUGGGCGAAAGCCUGAUCCAGCAAUGCCGCGUGAGUGAUGAAGGCCUUAGGGUUGUAAAGCUCUUUUACCAGGGAUGAUAAUGACAGUACCUGGAGAAUAAGCUCCGGCUAACUCCGUGCCAGCAGCCGCGGUAAU
Molecule: ribosomal RNA, 450 nt
Filed under: uncultured bacterium
Lineage: Bacteria
Description: bacterial SSU rRNA
Rfam family: Bacterial small subunit ribosomal RNA
Source: RNAcentral